AUGGCAGCAUUUGGAAGCAAUCCGGAGAAGGACUUGGAUCUAUGCAUUGUUUCACAGUUUGUGUCCAAUUCACUCUGGAUUUGAACUGGUUGACAUUCUUUGAAAAUCUGCUUUGAAUGCUGCCAAUGAGAAUAAACUUCACAGUUGAGGAUUAUUGACAAAUCUGCUCGAAAAAGACACAUGAAGAACAUCCUUUAUGGUCCAUCUUGUGGUAAAACACGGGUAUUUCUUUGCUCAUUUGAGUGUCAGUGGAUUAUUCCUGCUGGUGCAAUGUUUUCAAGAGAUAAAAUACUCCCCACUGUGCUACAUGCAAA
Melospiza melodia melodia is the source of this 314-nucleotide long non-coding RNA. RefSeq lists it as uncharacterized. The record is from RefSeq and is a predicted model, not a curated record. The transcript has 3 exons. NCBI's taxonomy places the organism in Eukaryota, Metazoa, Chordata, Aves, Passeriformes, Passerellidae.